Oncorhynchus keta (chum salmon) is the source of this 1847-nucleotide long non-coding RNA. RefSeq lists it as uncharacterized. The record is from RefSeq and is a predicted model, not a curated record. The transcript has 2 exons. Lineage: Eukaryota; Metazoa; Chordata; Actinopteri; Salmoniformes; Salmonidae.
UGGGAGGGGGUAGAGGAGGAAGAAUGACACAGAAAUGCACUCCUCUGGCAGUGCGCAGACGCAGUGCACACAGUCACGCCAUACUAGCACUCUCUGCACCCCGGCAAUCAGCUACAGAAAAGAGCAUUAAAAAUAAGGAAACGAAAAAAAGAGAACGUACAAACAGUCAGAGUGGACUGCCCUGCAUAAGGACAUUUGAAAUAUGCAACAGUUCUGAGAGCAGGUUAAAUGAUUAACCUUAUCUGGUACAGUACAGUACAGUACUGCAGCUCUCCCUCUCGUCAAGCUGCAACAGUCUGUUUGGAUCACAUGCUACAGCCAGCCACGGCUCAGACAGAAAGUAUGAACUCUAGCAUGCCUGCCACAGCAGCUAGCGUGAAAGCAGCAUUGAGAAGACAAAGAGCAUAUAUGGAAAAAUGGGAGCUACUUGAGUAUAAUACUGUAGUGUAGCACGUGGCAGGGUAGAGAGCAGGGUUAGUAGAGUUACAGCACAGUAAGACGGUCCUCUUUCUGCCCUGGCUCUGCUUCUCCGAGGGGCAAAACAUCGCACGACCCUUACAGCAAAUCUUGGCAAGGAGUCAAAAGCCUGAUAAGCGUUUUGGGUGAGACCUCACUGCUUUUCUGGAAGAAAAACAGCUGCUGUGAUUACAACGUGAUUGAGAAUUCACAGAAAACACGAGUGGUUCUGAUUUGUCCUGGCUAAAAAGGCACAGGAUAGCUUGUCCAAAUAGGAAAAGAUUGUUGAGUAUAUUUGCUUCUAAACUAUCCCUUACCCUGGAAUCAUCUAGAAUCCUGCAUUGUCGGGUGCUCCACCCGCCCUACACCCUGCCGUUUGCGCGUGCGCACACGCACACACACACACGCUACAAAACAGCACGGCAGACCAGUCCUCCACCAUCUUAGUACAUACCGAUUAUCAUUUUGAUUUUCGUUUUUUUUUUUCUAUCUCUGUCUUUUUCAUACUUCCUCUUUCCCUCCCUCUCUCUGUCCCACCACCUUCUCCACCGUGCGACCAGCGUUGGGCUUUUCCCAUUUGUGGCAGAUUACUAUAACACUAUUGUAAAACAACUUCCUGCCUCUUUUGGCUCUGGUUCCAAAUAACGGCAAAGGCUGGGCUCACACGCUUGAACUUUUCCCCCCCUCUCUGUCCCGAAGUAUCAGGAGCUCUAAAUAGGAAAGAGAGAAAAUGGGAAAAACGGUAAAAUCUCUGCACGUCUCCUGUUCUGGACUUAUUUUGAUGCCUUAUGUCUUUAAUGCCAGAUGAAAAGUAUAGCAGGGGAUUGCAUGCCUAGCAGAGAAAAAGGAAUAUAAUCUCCAAGGCCUCUCUAAAGCUGGAUGAAUUGGUGCCUUUCAAAAGGCUGAUUUGAGGACCUUUUUCACUGAAUAAUAUGUUAGUUUUCUAUGAUUUUGUUUUGCUUUCAUGUAUUGAUAUGAAUAUUGAUGUGUAUUCAUGUGUAUUGAUGUGUAUACAGGGCUCAUCUGUAAAAUAGACUUUGGUCUCAGCAUUACUCUCUGUCAAAAUGAAGGCUUAAAUAAAAAGUCUUGAAACUAAAUGGACAUUGUUUCAUUUCAUUGGGUGUCCAUACUAUGCAAUCACUCAUAAUGUCAUGCUAACAUUUUCUGCUGAAAAACAAAUACAAAAUGUGAAUAUUAUGGGUCUGAGUAAAAUAUGGUGAUGGUGAUGUUUAAAAAUGAGACGGGUAUGUGCUUUACAUGUUUACACUUGAAUAUUAUACAACAUUAAAGAAAAGUGCAAUUGUGAAAUAUUUCCCUUCACCGACACCCCUGAAGUGUAACUUUAAAAAAUAUAUAUUUUCACAACUAAUUCAAUGACUUCUGGAUGUUUU